GAAGAGGUGGAGCCUAUCUUUCCUUCUCUUGAAGCUGGACAUUCUACAUGUGGCUUGCUUCAGCCAAUAGAACUUUAGUAAAUGUGACAUAAGCAGAGACUUGAAUAGUACAUUUUCUUUAGAGCUCACUCUCUUGCUGAUAUUUGGGCCCUGAGGCCACUGUGUGAAGAAUCCCUGACUACUCUGCUGGAAGAUAAAAGACAAUGAGGAAAAAAGCUGAUCUAUUCCAGCUGAGGGCCCCCAAGGCUGACCGGUCUGCCAACUACCAGACAUCUCCAAGUUAUACUCAGGAAGAGAAAAAAAUUAAAAGUUCCAGUAGGCCGAGAAGCCCAUGAUCCACCGUGUUGAAGGAAGAUUUGCUUCACCUCACCACCCCCCAACCCCCUCCCGCCCCCCCGCGGUAAUACUAAGCUGUUCACACGCUGUGAAGAAGACCCGAAGACUAGGUUGUCAACUGUUGGGGCCUACCUGCGCCAGACUUCUUCCUCAGUGGCCAGCUUUCUCACCCCCCGUUAGCCACCAGGGGGCCGCCUGCUUGGAACAAGUGGUGUAGACGCCACAGCUUUUCUCCAAACCAACCAAAACAUUCCGGGGCAGCUUUGGAGCAAAGCCCAGGAACUUCCCUGCAAAGGAGAACAGCUCUCCAACUACAGAAGCCUGCAAGUCCUAUGGUGCAGACUUAUUAAGAGUAGAGAAGAAAGCACGGACUUCUCACCGAGGACCAAAGGGAAAUGGGGUCUCUGGGGCCUGCAACUUUCUUAAAAGUGCAUCAGUGAAACCCUGCUUAUCCAGCGGGGUGGUUGUUAAUGCUGUCAGCAGGGGUGGGGGGCCUCUCACCCCUUUCCCUGGGACGCUCAGAAGAAGCGAGAAUAAAACAUACAUGUCACUGGCUGGAAAUCUAGAGAACCUUCCAAUAAAUAACCUAUACAUUGUCAGGCAGCUGAGGAUCCAUAUCGUCAUAACUCUAUUAUACUGCGUGUUACACGAAUAGAUGUGAAUAUUAAAUUAUGAUGUCGGAA
Molecule: long non-coding RNA, 1019 nt
Filed under: Homo sapiens (human)
Lineage: Eukaryota; Metazoa; Chordata; Mammalia; Primates; Hominidae
Description: HSALNT0310775
Source: RNAcentral